AUGCAUCGUCAAGUUCCUCCACAAGCUCGACAAGCUCCUCCACAAGCUCAAAAAGAACCUCAAGUUCACCUUGAGCAAGAAGACAAUGGAAAACCUCCAAGACAAGAGCAAGUUGAGGGAGACAAACCUCCUCGUCAAGGACGUCAUGAUCCCCGACCCCAACACAAUGAAGAGCAAAGCUAUGGAAAGAUAAAGUUCACCAUGCCCAAGUUCACCAGAAGCAAUGAUCCCGAAGAGUACCUUUCAUGGGCAUUGAAGGUUGACAAAAUCUUCCGCUUGCACAACUAUGAGGAAGAGAAGAAGAUCAUGAUGGCAUCCCUUGAGUUCCAAGAUUCAUCCUCAUUUGGUGGGAACAAGUCAUUGAGCGUCGAGAGGCAAGAGGUGAACCACCCAUAA
RNAcentral lists this ribosomal RNA (396 nucleotides) under Triticum aestivum (bread wheat). RNAcentral describes it as "partial small subunit ribosomal RNA". Lineage: Eukaryota; Viridiplantae; Streptophyta; Magnoliopsida; Poales; Poaceae. The record is from RNAcentral.